This 248-nucleotide ribosomal RNA is filed under the name uncultured bacterium. Its description in RNAcentral is "partial 16S ribosomal RNA". It matches the Rfam family "Bacterial small subunit ribosomal RNA", at positions 57 to 305 of the family's 1533-position model. The record is from RNAcentral.
GCAAGUCGAGGGGUAACAGGGUAGCAAUACCGCUGACGACCGGCGCACGGGUGCGUAACGCGUAUGCAACCUACCUUUAACUGGGGGAUAGCCCCGAGAAAUCGGGAUUAAUACCGCAUAACAUUGUGAUAUGGCAUCAUAUUACAAUUAAAACUCCGGUGGUUAAAGAUGGGCAUGCGUGACAUUAGUAGUUGGUGAGGUAACGGCUCACCAAGACUACGAUGUCUAGGGGUUCUGAGAGGAUGAUC